CCCUCUUCGCUAGCUAGUCCGCCCCUAGCUCCAACCUUCUUUGACCAGCCUGUAAUCCCGCCUUCCUAUCCCGCUCUCCCCUGGACGCCCCUCAUCCUCACGCCCCUUCUCCAAUCUUCUGGCCGUCCCGCCCCUAGCCCCAACCUACCUGGCCCGCCCCUUGCCUGGCCAGCUCUGCUUCCCUUAGCUGCAGGUAAAAAAUUAGAAGUAUGGGCGAAUCCAAGUGGGUCUCCUUUUCUGUUUUUCAUUAGAAGUAAUAUUUACUACAUUUUGAAUAUCAAGAAGAGAGUAGCAGAAAGGAAAAUCAAUUGAGACCAGGUGUGUUGAUUUAUCCUGUAGCCCCAGAAUUUGGGAGACUGAGACUGGAGGAUUUCUAUGGCACUCUUCUCUUGCAGAACUGUUUCCUUUGGAGCCCUCCUCUGCUGCUUUAGACACAGGGCAAGAAGUGAAGGGUUUAAAGUUGGUGAACAGCUUCUAAGAGGAAAUCAACUCAUUACCAACAUGGAAUUGAAAGGAAGGGUUGCUUUGGAAGCUGAGGUUUAGAAGAUAGAUGGGAGGUUUGUCCCUCCUGUGCUUCGUGCCUAUCCACUCCUCUGCUUCACUUUUGACUUCUUAUCCUUUCUUGG
Molecule: long non-coding RNA, 626 nt
Organism: Peromyscus eremicus (cactus mouse)
Lineage: Eukaryota; Metazoa; Chordata; Mammalia; Rodentia; Cricetidae
Exons: 4
Source: RefSeq, a predicted model, not a curated record